This 578-nucleotide ribosomal RNA is filed under the name uncultured bacterium. Its description in RNAcentral is "bacterial SSU rRNA". It matches the Rfam family "Bacterial small subunit ribosomal RNA", at positions 338 to 916 of the family's 1533-position model. The record is from RNAcentral.
CCUACGGGAGGCAGCAGUAAGGAAUAUUGGUCAAUGGACGAAAGUCUGAACCAGCCAUGCCGCGUGAAGGAUUAAGGCCCUCUGGGUUGUAAACUUCUUUUAUCUGGGACGAAAAAAGGGUAUUCUUACUCGCUUGACGGUACCAGAGGAAUAAGCACCGGCUAACUCCGUGCCAGCAGCCGCGGUAAUACGGAGGGUGCAAGCGUUAUCCGGAUUUACUGGGUUUAAAGGGUGCGUAGGUGGGCUUGUAAGUCAGUGGUGAAAUCUCCGGGCUUAACCCGGAAACUGCCAUUGAUACUAUAGGUCUUGAAUUAUCUGGAGGUAAGCGGAAUAUGUCAUGUAGCGGUGAAAUGCUUAGAUAUGACAUAGAACACCAAUUGCGAAGGCAGCUUACUACGGAUAUAUUGACACUGAGGCACGAAAGCGUGGGGAUCAAACAGGAUUAGAUACCCUGGUAGUCCACGCCCUAAACGAUGGAUACUCGACAUCAGCGAUACACUGUUGGUGUCUGAGCGAAAGCAUUAAGUAUCCCACCUGGGAAGUACGAUCGCAAGAUUGAAACUCAAAUGAAUUGACGG